RNAcentral lists this ribosomal RNA (680 nucleotides) under Staphylococcus aureus. RNAcentral describes it as "partial 23S ribosomal RNA". It matches the Rfam family "Bacterial large subunit ribosomal RNA", at positions 1 to 678 of the family's 2925-position model. The record is from RNAcentral. Lineage: Bacteria; Bacillati; Bacillota; Bacilli; Caryophanales; Staphylococcaceae.
GAUUAAGUUAUUAAGGGCGCACGGUGGAUGCCUUGGCACUAGAAGCCGAUGAAGGACGUUACUAACGACGAUAUGCUUUGGGGAGCUGUAAGUAAGCUUUGAUCCAGAGAUUUCCGAAUGGGGAAACCCAGCAUGAGUUAUGUCAUGUUAUCGAUAUGUGAAUACAUAGCAUAUCAGAAGGCACACCCGGAGAACUGAAACAUCUUAGUACCCGGAGGAAGAGAAAGAAAAUUCGAUUCCCUUAGUAGCGGCGAGCGAAACGGGAAGAGCCCAAACCAACAAGCUUGCUUGUUGGGGUUGUAGGACACUCUAUACGGAGUUACAAAGGACGACAUUAGACGAAUCAUCUGGAAAGAUGAAUCAAAGAAGGUAAUAAUCCUGUAGUCGAAAAUGUUGUCUCUCUUGAGUGGAUCCUGAGUACGACGGAGCACGUGAAAUUCCGUCGGAAUCUGGGAGGACCAUCUCCUAAGGCUAAAUACUCUCUAGUGACCGAUAGUGAACCAGUACCGUGAGGGAAAGGUGAAAAGCACCCCGGAAGGGGAGUGAAAUAGAACCUGAAACCGUGUGCUUACAAGUAGUCAGAGCCCGUUAAUGGGUGAUGGCGUGCCUUUUGUAGAAUGAACCGGCGAGUUACGAUUUGAUGCAAGGUUAAGCAGUAAAUGUGGAGCCGUAGCGAAAGC